This 376-nucleotide ribosomal RNA is filed under the name uncultured Glomus. Its description in RNAcentral is "partial 18S ribosomal RNA". The record is from RNAcentral. Lineage: Eukaryota; Fungi; Glomeromycota; Glomeromycetes; Glomerales; Glomeraceae.
AAAACAUCCUUGGCAAAUGCUUUCGCAGUAGUUAGUCUUCAAUAAAUCCAAGAAUUUCACCUCUGACAAUUGAAUACUAAUGCCCCCAACUAUCCCUAUUAAUCAUUACGUCAAUCCUAGAAACCAACAAAAUAGGGUCAACGUCCUAUUUCAUUAUUCCAUGCUAAUGUAUUCAAGCGCGAGCCUGCUUUAAACACUCUAAUUUUUUCAAAGUAACAGUCCUGAUUCCCCGCCACACCAAAUUAAUGACAUGAUGGUUCGUCGGAAGGUAGGAACCAGUAACACCAGUACGUACCGAAGGCACGACCAAUGUACUAAUCCCGAAAUUCAACUACGAGCUUUUUAACUGCAACAACUUUAAUAUACGCUAUUGGAG